AAUCUUCCACAAUGGGCGAAAGCCUGACGCAGCCAUGCCGCGUAAAUGAUGACGGUCUUAGGAUUGUAAAAUUCUUUCACCGGGGACGAUAAUGACGGUACCCGGAGAAGAAGCCCCGGCUAACUUCGUGCCAGCAGCCGCGGUAAUACGAAGGGGGCUAGCGUUGCUCGGAAUUACUGGGCGUAAAGGGCGCGUAGGCGGAUUGUUAAGGCAGGGGUGAAAUCCCGGGGCGCAACCUCGGAACUGCCCUUGAUACUGGCGAUCUUGAGUAUGAGAGAGGUAUGUGGAACACCGAGUGUAGAGGUGAAAUUCGUAGAUAUUCGGAAGAACACCAGUGGCGAAGGCGACAUACUGGCUCAUUACUGACGCUGAGGCGCGAAAGCGUGGGGAGCAAACA
This 397-nucleotide ribosomal RNA is filed under the name uncultured bacterium. Its description in RNAcentral is "partial 16S ribosomal RNA". It matches the Rfam family "Bacterial small subunit ribosomal RNA", at positions 360 to 774 of the family's 1533-position model. The record is from RNAcentral.